GAGGGAGGAGUCGCAGCGCCCGCUGCCUGUGCUCCGCGGGCGUCACGUUGCCGCGGCCUCGGCGCGCCUGGAGGCCUGGAAAGGCUUUCAGUGGGAUAGAGAGAGGGGGCGGGCGGCGGGCUGGCUGCGCGUGGACCUGUGGCUUCUCUGGCUGCAGAGGCGCAGCCUCCUGGGCGUGUCCCAGCUCCGGCGCUCUGGCGCUCCCAUUCUUGUUUCCUUCCUUCCGUCCGUCCCUCCCUUCCUUCUUCUCUUCCUCCCUUCCUCCCGCCCUUCUCUCUCCCCCUCCUCCCUUCGUCUCUCCCUCCUUCCCUCCUUCCCCGCGCCCUUGGUCGGGGUCGCGGCGGGACGAAGCCGCCUCCAGGAUGAAGUUGAAGCCGAACCGGAGGAGGAGGACUGACGUUUGGCCGCGAGCGUGGCUAGAAGCGGGGCUGCCUGGGCUCACUUACUCCGUGGGCUGAGGGGUAGGGGGGAGGGAAGGAGAGGGGAUCCGUAUCCAGAUCAGUGCGUUGUUCCCGGUGGAGGAAUGGAGCCCGAGGUAGAGCAAGGCGGAGCUGCGGGAAGACAAGCGCAGGAAAAGGAAAAUUAGGCAGACUCCUGGGGAUCUGUGAACACAAUCAAGACGGCAAGCAUCGCACUUAGGGAUCUAUUGCAACCCUGGGAGGAUUCUUUUUUCAUAGCAAGGAAGGUUGAAGAUGCCAUUAAAGUUCUGGAGUGUCAUCAACCUGCACAAACCGACUAUUUGGAAAAAUUCAAGUCGGGCUGCUCACCAACCAAUGAAAUUCCGUGGUUCCCACCCUUGCAGACAACAAUUCUUGGUCUCGUCUCCAAGUUUUUGGACUACUUUUGGCUGCAUCAUAAGGCAUACUUUACCUGCCAGAAGGAAAGGGGAUGAGCCAGAUGAUGUAUCGACCUAAAAUCUAAAUCUUAGGCUGGGGUCACAACGACACACAGGUGUUGCCAUCUAAACCUCAACUAUGGAGCAGCAUAACAGUACGUGCUACAGUUUGAGAGAAGGGUUUUGUGACUGUUGCCAGUGAAGCGUCUACGCGUGGGUUUGUAUAAAUACAGCCUUACAGGUUUAGAUGGAUGAUGGUCAAAGGAUACGAAAAGAUAAUAUUCAAAAGAUGACAUCCAAAAUUGGGAAUUAUUCCUUGGGAAAUCUUAGUCUUGCUAUCGAAGAGAUGUACAUUACAAGGAACUUUGAGGUACCACCUCGUAAUCACCAGCUAAGCAAAAAUAAUUCAGAACAUCAAAACUCAGGGAUGUGGAUUGAUGUCGCAGAAUCAUUUUGGACAGCAACAUGGCAGUGCACAUUAACCAUUAAAAAAGUCAUCCUAGCCUUUGAACUCAUAACGCCAUUGUUAGGAAUAGAAUCUGAAAGUAUCAGCAAAAACCAAAAUGAAAAAAGCCAUCUGUUGGAGGAUUUCCACGUCAGCAUUAUGUGUGAUUACCAAGACUGAAAAACAACUUAAAUGCUGAGAAACAGGGGAAAUUGUAGUCCGUGAAGGUAAUAGGAGAGGCAACAUGGCAUGUUGUAGUGGAGAGAGAACUUCCUUCAGACUAAGGAAAUCCUGGGGAUCAUCUCUUACAUAUGCUAGCUUUGUGACUCUGGGCAAUUCACUUAAUGUCUCAGUGCCUCAGGGAACUAUGGAAAAGUACACAGCACUCACAGGUGUGUAUCAGUAGAGAGAAUUUCCUCAUUGGAAGGCCCCUAAACCUAUCAAACCAAAAGGACAGACCAUUGCCCCCACUACCUGCUGCCAAGAUAUACACAAAAUUUACUUGGCUGAACUUUUAAAAAUAAAAGUUUCCAGUACAAAUUGUUCAGAAUAAAUAAGGAAGUUAAAAAGAAAAAAACCAGAAGUUCAACUGUUUUGGCAAAACUUUCUCUUUUAGGAAGCUUUCAGUUGUAUGUUGUCUUUGAAAAUUCGAACGUACAGCAUUGGCUUUCUAAAUCCAGUGUCAGGGUACAGGGAGGAGAACAGGCAGAUGACACCCAAUGAUUUCUGGUUAAAGAACAGGAAGUCUGAACAAUGGGAAUGAAAUAACCACAGUAUCAAUUUCCACUUACUGCCACAUCUUAUCCACUGGAUAGAUUCCUAUUAUACCCUAUUCAAUGGCCUGUAUUUACAGUUAGUAUCUCAGGGCCAAGAUGAAAACAGUGGAAUUGAGUACAUCAUCUAAGGUUACACAAGCUGCACUGUACACACACAUCCUCAGGUUUUGUUCAGGCAAUUUGCUCAUUUCAGUAAUUCUCACUACAUCUUUACUUCUAGUCUGCACUCUGCAAUGAGGCUGAUUCCUCAAUAUGGAAAAAUAUUGGAUUUUAUACGUGACAGUGGUUGCUAAUUCAUUCAGAGUAGACUCCUCAGGAAACUGGACACCUGUUUAAACAAAACUUAAGGACUGAGAUACAAAUUUUUUUGUCUUUGGAGAGUAGAUUCAAGUUUUAGAAGAAAGCUAAACAUAAUUCAGAUUCAAUUAUGACCCUGGGAUCCGAGAUUUAAACGUGUUUGGAAUGUUAGAGGCUAAUGCUCUGUCUCUCCUAACACAUCCUCCCCUCCAUUUUCAAAAAGAGGAAAUUGAAGUACAGAGAGAUCAAGGGUGACGUGAAUUACCCAGGGUCAUACAACUAGCAAGAGUUUGAGGAAGGAUUUCAAUCCAUUUCCCCCUGACUACAAUUCUAGUGCUCUGUCAGUCAUGCUAUGUUGCCUUUCUAAUCAAGUAAAUGAUAUGACUGGGUAGUAAUGCCAUUUUUUCUUAAAUCUGGAAGGAAAAGUAUAAGACAUAUAAUUGUAAACUAAUGGAACCAGGGAGAAAAGGUUUCCUUCUGUGGCUCUGAAGACAUCAUCAUGUAUGUGUAUGUGUAUGUUCAUGUGUAUGUAUAUAGAUAGAUAGAGAUAGGUAUAGUCAUAUAAAUAUUCACAUACAUUUACCUGUACAAUGUACAUAAACACAUGUACAUAUAAAUGUACAUAUUCUCUACAUCUAUUGAUGUAUGUUUUGUGUGUAUGGCUAUGUAGGUAUGUAUAGAAAUAUAUUGAGAUCUCACCCUCUUCCUGGCCUUAUGCUAUGUACAGUUUCAUGUAUUUCAUGAUUGCAGAAAAGAUGGAUUUUUCUUUUCCUUACCUCCUUUCCAUAUGGUUGUCUUCCUAUCACCUCUGGUGCCAUCCAGUACGGAGUCCCAAUGAAUGAUGUCCUCUUUGGGACUUGUGCCGUAAGUUGAGCGCAAAAGCCAAAAUCGGCUAACUUUAUCUGGAAAACAAUAGAUGCAACAACAGGACCCCUUGACCAUGUUUCCUGCCAUUCCAUAUAGACAUGAAUGAAGUAAGAUACAAAAUUAAAAAUUAAAUGAGUUGUCAUAUUCUGGCCAAUUAGCAGAUAAUAUAUGCAGUAUUUUAGCAGAUAUUUUCAUCUCCCCUAUGAUGCCUAGAACAGUAUAUAUCAAUAUGUAUCUGAUUUUCUUUUGAAAUGAUGUGUCGCUCAUGAGGCAGCUAGGUGUCCCAAUGCUUGGAGCACUAGCCUUGACUGCCUCAUAUACUUGCUAGCUGUGUCAUUUGCUGAGCAAGUCAUUUACUAGAUACCUUUCCACUUCAGUUUCCUCACCAGUCAAGUCAAUACUCAUUGGUUAAGCAUGCGUCAAGCACUGGGAUAAGCUCUGGAGACACACAGAAAGGCAAAACAUAGUUCCUGUUCUCAGCUCACAGUCUAAUUGGGGAGAGGACCUGCAAACAAUUAUGUCCAAACAAGAUCUAUACAGGCUUCACUUGGGGGAAGUCUCAGAAGAAGGGCACUCAGAAAGAGUAAGGAGGAUUAGGAAAAGCUUCUUGUAGAAGGUAGGCCUUGAGUUGAAACUUGAGGGAGGUCAGGGAAGGCAGGAGCUGCAGAUAAGGAAGGGCAGCAUUCCAGGCUUAGAGGACCGCCAGUGAAAAUGGCCAGAGUCAAGAAGAGAUGGACCAUUUUAUGCAAGGAACAGAAAAGAGGCCAGAGUAUGUAGCAGGGAGUAAGGUUCAAGAAUACUGAAAAACAUGAAACAGAAUGGCAUCUACCUCACAGGGUUGUUGAAGGGCAUCAUAUGAGUUAACACAGGAAAAGUGCUUUGUAAACCAAAUGCUCUCUAAACUCUGUUGUUAUGAUUGAUGUUUUUGUCACCUAGGUAGUGGAUGGCUAAAGAAUUCUGAGUACUUCAGAUCACACCUUGCAUUCUUUCCACUGAUGAAAUGUGUACUUCUUGAAAACAGAACAUAUUAAAUGUUUGUCUCUAUC
Molecule: long non-coding RNA, 4266 nt
Organism: Phascolarctos cinereus (koala)
Lineage: Eukaryota; Metazoa; Chordata; Mammalia; Diprotodontia; Phascolarctidae
Source: RefSeq, a predicted model, not a curated record